This 23-nucleotide non-coding RNA is filed under the name Rattus norvegicus (Norway rat). Lineage: Eukaryota; Metazoa; Chordata; Mammalia; Rodentia; Muridae. The record is from RNAcentral.
UGCCUGCCUGCCGUCUGGAUGCC